ACCUGGUCUUGACAUCCACAGAACUUGCCAGAGAUGGCUUGGUGCCUUCGGGAACUGUGAGACAGGUGCUGCAUGGCUGUCGUCAGCUCGUGUUGUGAAAUGUUGGGUUAAGUCCCGCAACGAGCGCAACCCUUAUCCUUUGUUGCCAGCGGUUAGGCCGGGAACUCAAAGGAGACUGCCAGUGAUAAACUGGAGGAAGGUGGGGAUGACGUCAAGUCAUCAUGGCCCUUACGACCAGGGCUACACACGUGCUACAAUGGCGCAUACAAAGAGAAGCGACCUCGCGAGAGCAAGCGGACCUCAUAAAGUGCGUCGUAGUCCGGAUUGGAGUCUGCAACUCGACUCCAUGAAGUCGGAAUCGCUAGUAAUCGUAGAUCAGAAUGCUACGGUGAAUACGUUCCCGGGCCUUGUACACACCGCCCGUCACACCAUGGGAGUGGGUUGCAAAAGAAGUAGGUAGCUUAACCUUCGGGAGGGCGCUUACCACUUUGUGAUUCAUGACUGGGGUGAAGUCGUAACAAGGUAACCGUAGGGGAACCUGCGGUUGGAUCACCUCCUUACCUUAAAGAA
RNAcentral lists this ribosomal RNA (570 nucleotides) under Klebsiella quasipneumoniae subsp. similipneumoniae. RNAcentral's name for it is "bacterial SSU rRNA". It matches the Rfam family "Bacterial small subunit ribosomal RNA", at positions 973 to 1533 of the family's 1533-position model. The record is from RNAcentral. Lineage: Bacteria; Pseudomonadati; Pseudomonadota; Gammaproteobacteria; Enterobacterales; Enterobacteriaceae.